GAAAUGCGAUAAGUAAUGUGAAUUGCAGAAUUCAGUGAAUCAUCGAAUCUUUGAACGCACAUUGCGCCCCCUGGUAUUCCGGGGGGCAUGCCUGUUCGAGCGUCAUUUCACCACUCAAGCCUCGCUUGGUAUUGGGCGACGCGGUCCGCCGCGCGCCUCAAAUCGACCGGCUGGGUCUUCCGUCCCCUCAGCGUUGUGGAAACUAUUCGCUAAAGGGUGCCGCGGGAGGUCACGCCGCAAAACAACCCCAUUUCUAAGGUUGACCUCGGAUCAGGUAGGGAUACCCGCUGAACUUAAGC
RNAcentral lists this unclassified non-coding RNA (299 nucleotides) under plant metagenome. Its description in RNAcentral is "partial contains 5.8S ribosomal RNA, internal transcribed spacer 2, and large subunit ribosomal RNA". The stretch from base 1 to 105 matches the Rfam family "5.8S ribosomal RNA", at positions 50 to 154 of the family's 154-position model. The record is from RNAcentral.